RNAcentral lists this ribosomal RNA (552 nucleotides) under Staphylococcus haemolyticus. RNAcentral describes it as "bacterial SSU rRNA". It matches the Rfam family "Bacterial small subunit ribosomal RNA", at positions 332 to 873 of the family's 1533-position model. Lineage: Bacteria; Bacillati; Bacillota; Bacilli; Caryophanales; Staphylococcaceae. The record is from RNAcentral.
UGGGGGCCUACGGGAGGCAGCAGUAGGGAAUCUUCCGCAAUGGGCGAAAGCCUGACGGAGCAACGCCGCGUGAGUGAUGAAGGUCUUCGGAUCGUAAAACUCUGUUAUUAGGGAAGAACAUACGUGUAAGUAACUAUGCACGUCUUGACGGUACCUAAUCAGAAAGCCACGGCUAACUACGUGCCAGCAGCCGCGGUAAUACGUAGGUGGCAAGCGUUAUCCGGAAUUAUUGGGCGUAAAGCGCGCGUAGGCGGUUUUUUAAGUCUGAUGUGAAAGCCCACGGCUCAACCGUGGAGGGUCAUUGGAAACUGGAAAACUUGAGUGCAGAAGAGGAAAGUGGAAUUCCAUGUGUAGCGGUGAAAUGCGCAGAGAUAUGGAGGAACACCAGUGGCGAAGGCGACUUUCUGGUCUGUAACUGACGCUGAUGUGCGAAAGCGUGGGGAUCAAACAGGAUUAGAUACCCUGGUAGUCCACGCCGUAAACGAUGAGUGCUAAGUGUUAGGGGGUUUCCGCCCCUUAGUGCUGCAGCUAACGCAUAAGCACUCCGCGCAU